GGGAAGGCUUUAAAAAGCCGAUAUGGACCAGGGUAGAGUUCGUACGCUGUAGCUUUUCAAGAACACCGAUCUCAUUAAUUAAAGAACAGCAACUAUUUAAUUCCAGUUAUAAACUAUUGUUUUCCAGUUAGUCUGGGUAGGUGUGACCGUUUGUAGAAUAGUUAGAUUACAUUAGUCUUUAUUGCGUUGGUACAGUUGUCUAUAGCUUGAGCAUAUAAAAACUCCUGAGCCCAGCAGAAAAGUUACUUUCCAAUACCAUUCUCCAUCCUCCGUGCUUUGGAAGUUGCAUCGUUUUCCGGUUUUUCAUACCCAAAGAACACUGUCAGUUAUGACAGCUCUGUGGCCCCUGGUAAUGAAUUAGUGUAUUAGUCACUCCUGAAACGUUCCUUAAAGUGCUGGAAUUUAACAGUAGCACACCACAUCCAGUACAUAGCUGUACCGUAUUUCCAUAUUUUUCAAAGCUGAAAAUCUUAAUUGGAUAUCUUGGAUCAUUAACUUAAAACCUCAGCGGAUUUUUCUUUCAAAGCAGACAUAACUGAGGAUGCUGACCAAUGAAUGCAAAUAAACUAUGCAAUAUUUUUAAAAAUAACAAAUGUAUGUUAGUUUUUUUUUAAGCUGAGGUCAGCUAUGUUUUGGGGGGGGUAUGUGCUUUUUUAAAUUAUUGUUUUAUUUCAGUCGAUUUUUGGGUGGUGUUUGGUUAUAUGAAUAAGGUUUUUAGUUUAAUUUCUGGGAUUUUGGUGCGUCCGAGCAAUGUACAUUGUACCCAAUGUGUAGUCUUUUGUGCCUCAUUAGCCUUCCCCUUACCCCCGAGCCCCCAAGUCCCCAAAGUCCAAUGUAUCAUUCUUAUUGAAGACAGAUAAAUUUUUUUAACUCUGAGACUCACUGGAGAGAAUGACUGGUUGUCUUUGGGUGUUACUGGAAAGCCAAAGGAUUAAGCAAUAGGGAUAAAGUAGAGGAGGAGAUAAUUGUUCUCGUAUGUCAUAUGAAAAUGCUACCAUAGAAGAAGCCGAAGGAAGUUCCCGAAUUUAUGAUAUCCUCUUCCCUUUUUUCCAAAGAAAGAUGCAGUCUAGCAUCUCAGUUAAGAAUAUGGACUCUAAAGUCAGACUGCCGGGCUUCAAAUCCCGGUUCUGUGACCUCAGCAAAGUUACUUAACUAAGCUCUCAGUGCCUUGUUUUCUACAUCUGUAAAGUGAGGAUGACGUCACAGCAUUGUUGAGAGAAUUAAUACAGGCUCCAGACUUGUGAAUGAAGAACGGUUGAGAUGACCCCAGCCCCAGCCACCACCUGAUGACAACCAUAUCAGAGAUCCUAAGAGCUGCCUAGCUGACCCCAGGCACCCCCAGAUUUAUCCAGCACUUAGAAGAAUGCCAGGCAGGCUUUCCCCACCAACCAAGAUGGAAUAACAGGGAAAAGACAUACCCUUCUAUCUUCAAUAAUUGGAAACCCAGACAAAGUUUAUGAAAUGCUGGUUUUCAAGACAUAGGACAUCAGACAAUCAAGGGCAGUAAACACUGAGAUGGGAAACAAACAAGGUGAGUACUGCAAUUGCCCAACAUUACUAGCUGGAAAGAGUUUCCCGACCACGGCAGAGGGAGGAGGACCCUUGGAGGUUCUGUGGUGUCCCUGAGUUGAGGAGACAAAGUUGAAAUUCCAGAGUGGUCAAGGCAGCUGGAGUUUGUAGAGCAGAGUACCAGAGAGAAAAUAGAUGCACAGAGAGAACCUCAGAGAUCUGCAAAAGAUCUCAGCUCUUCAGCUGUGCACAUAUCAGUACAUGCAUGUGACAAAGCACCCCAAGGCCAGGGGAAGAAUCACCUGCAAGUAUGAAGAGAAAUACUUGGAGCACAUACAAACCAGGAAUAAUUUCAGUUCUCACCAGCCAAAUUGGAAGACCCCAUAGAUAACGGGAAUUAGGUAGAGCAGGGGUCCCCAACCUCCAGGGGCACUGACCAGUACUGUCCAUGGCCUGUUAGGAACUGGGCCGCACAGCAGGAGGUGAGCGGCAGGCUAGCCAGCAAACCUUCAUCUGUAUUUAUAGCUCCCAUCACUUGCAUUACUCCCCAUCACUCUCCAUCACUUGCGUUACCACCUGAGCUCCACCUCCUCUCAGAUCAGCAGCAGCAUUAGAUUCUCACAGGAGCGUGAACCCUAUUGUGAACUGCACGUGCGAGGGAUCUAGGUUGAGCGCUGUUUAUGAGAAUCUAACGCCUGAUGAUCUGAGGUGCAGCUGAGGCAGUGUUGCUAGGAGGUAGGUAUUUUGUUGCUGAGGAGUGGAAGCAAAUACAGAUUAACAUUAGCAGAGAGGGUUGACUGUACAGAGACCAUAAUAAAACAGUUGCCUCCAGACUCAUAUCAAAACCCUAUCAGUGAGUGGCAAGUGACAAUUAAGCUGCAUCUGGUGGCAGACUUUAUAGAGGCAAGUGAGUCGAUGUAUUUCAAUUGCACAGCUGUAUCUGGUGGCAAGUUUUAAGUCAGAAUCUGACACUUAAUUUAGUCUGUGCAUGACCUGCCCAUUAUUUUAUUUACCACUUCUGUCUGUGCCGCUUUCCUACACUGAACACUUGUCUCAGUCACAGUUUUGGUAAGCCCACAAGCUAAGGCUAGCUAAAAUGAGUAAAAAGCAGACAUCACUGGAGAGCUUCUUUGAAAAUCAGAGACACCCAAUGAUGAGACAGCAGAAGACUCUAAGACUGCCAACAAAAAGAAAGCUGCACUUAAAAGAAAAUACCAGACUGGGCGUGGUGGCUCACACCUGUAAUCCUAACACUUUGGGAGGCUGAAGCGGGUGGAUCACUUGAGGCCAGGAGUUUGAGACCAGCCUAGCCAACAUGGUGAAACCCAUGUUUCU
This 2844-nucleotide non-coding RNA is filed under the name Pongo abelii (Sumatran orangutan). Lineage: Eukaryota; Metazoa; Chordata; Mammalia; Primates; Hominidae. The record is from RNAcentral.